Molecule: ribosomal RNA, 305 nt
Filed under: uncultured Alphaproteobacteria bacterium
Lineage: Bacteria; Pseudomonadati; Pseudomonadota; Alphaproteobacteria
Description: bacterial SSU rRNA
Rfam family: Bacterial small subunit ribosomal RNA
Source: RNAcentral
CGGCUAACUUCGUGCCAGCAGCCGCGGUAAUACGAAGGGGGCGAGCGUUGUUCGGAUUUACUGGGCGUAAAGGGCGCGCAGGCGGUUCUGUUUGUCGAGUGUGAAAGCCCCGGGCUCAACCUGGGAACUGCGCUCGAAACGGCGGAACUAGAGUUCGGGAGAGGAGAGUGGAAUUCCCAGUGUAGAGGUGAAAUUCGUAGAUAUUGGGAAGAACACCGGUGGCGAAGGCGGCUCUCUGGACCGAUACUGACGCUGAGGCGCGAAAGCGUGGGGAGCAAACAGGAUUAGAUACCCUGGUAGUCCAC